AGAUGACUAUGUUGGUAACAGAACUCUGGCAGGAAGAGGUGACGUUGCCUCGGACAUUCAGAGUGAGGGAGACCUUUGCAGAGGACACAGAAGAGGUGAACCAGGCCAACACAAGACAGAUGGGAUGCAAGAACACUGUUGACACAUCAAUACUUCAUACAAGGCAAUAAAGCGGCUACCACCACCAUGACCACCAUGACCACCACCACCACCAUGACCACCGCCACCACCACCACCACCACCACCACCACCACCACCACCACCACCACAGCACUCAGCGUGGCACAGAAGGAACAGAGCCAGGCGGAAAACAAGGACUAAGAUCCACUGCCACUUCCAAAUAAGAGGUGAACCAGGCCAACACAAGACAGAUGGGAUGCAAGAACACUGUUGACACAUCAAUACUUCAUACAAGGCAAUAAAGCGGCUACCACCACCAUGACCACCAUGACCACCACCACCACCACCAUGACCACCGCCACCACCACCACCACCACCACCACCACAGCACUCAGCGUGGCACAGAAGGAACAGAGCCAGGCGGAAAACAAGGACUAAGAUCCACUGCCACUUCCAAAUAAGGGCAUUAUUGAGAAGUAUGGCCUGGCACUGCAAUCAUCAGGGUUCUUUGCUGGGUAUGACAUCAACAUCAACGCAGGCAUUGCCAAUUCUGUGUCGUCGCAGGCCCUCAAAUUUGUGGCCUCUCUCCUGCCAAAUACUGUGGCUUAUUUUGAUGAGGAGAAGGUGAAAGAGCGUCCCAUCACAGACACCUUCUAUGCUCCCUUUGACCUUUACAAGCCCAUUAGAGGUGGUAAGUACUUGUUAAUAUAUUUUGGUGAUAGAGAAAAGCAGGUAGACAAAAUUACAAGUAUUCAAAAUUUUUUCCUUUUUCCUUAUCUUCUAUUACUUCCUCCUCAUUGUGCCAAUUUGUUUCCUUACCUCUGCAAGUAUUGAUUAUUGUGUCUAUCUAUCCACCUGUCUGCCUGCUUGUCUAUCUGCCUGCCUGUCUACGGUCAGCGACACACACAAUCGGACCUCCUGCCGAGACACGAGCAAGAAAGUUUCCUCAUUGGCUGACGAAAUGCCCCUGGUUGUAAAGUAUGGCUGUCAUUGGCUGGAGGUCUGAUGGUGGUUGUUGAUGGCUGUAUUUGUGGUGAUGGUGAUCUAUUAUUAUUAUGUCUGUUUUGUUAUAUGUUGUGUUUAUGCAAAAUGUUUUGUGUGUUUUUGAGAAUGUGUCCUGGAAUUUUUUGGUUACAAGGAAAUGCAUAUUGAUAUACAAUGUCUCUCUCUCUCUCUCUCUCUCUCUCUCUCUCUCUCUCUCUCUCUCUCUCUCUCUCUCUCUCUCUCUCUCUCUCUCUCUCUCUC
Molecule: long non-coding RNA, 1365 nt
Organism: Scylla paramamosain (green mud crab)
Lineage: Eukaryota; Metazoa; Arthropoda; Malacostraca; Decapoda; Portunidae
Exons: 7
Source: RefSeq, a predicted model, not a curated record